Molecule: long non-coding RNA, 633 nt
Filed under: Salmo salar (Atlantic salmon)
Lineage: Eukaryota; Metazoa; Chordata; Actinopteri; Salmoniformes; Salmonidae
Description: lncRNA (ENSSSAG00000084074.1)
Source: RNAcentral
GUAAACUGUUUGAAAAGGCUGCAUGAAAUGUCUGCCUGUUUUUGGUGAGAUUGAGUUUUGGCCUGAAUAGACCAAUGAGAAAGCGUUCUAAACCUCUCUGCCAAUAACAGCUCGUUUUCAGUUUUCCCCUCCCCUCUCAGACCACUCCCCAAAUUCUUGCUUGAGAAAUGGCUCUUUGCUAAGAAGCUAUUUUAGUUUUUUUUACCAUUUUGAUUGAAAUCAAUCACAGUAAGGUAUUUAAAUGUUACUUACUUGAUAUUGACUUUUGUUUUUAAAAGGCUGAAUUGGACUUUUAAAUUACAACACACUAGAUUAGGGUUCGUACAUGGCCAUAACAGUGCUUGUUUAUGGAUGAUAGACAGAACACCGAGGCGACUACCUGUGGAUAUAACAGAGAAAGGUCGUCACCAAAAUAAAUGUUCAGUUGUCAGAUCAUGGACUUGCAAUAAAGUGAUUGGGAUCGUUGUCACAACCAGCAGAACUGAAGCAAGAUACAAAGACAAGUUUCUGAACAUGUUUUGUGAUUUGGUGACAGUGUUUCGCUGGGUCCUUCUUCUCAAAUGUGCUCCAGUCAUCUUCCAGACUACUGCUGUUUUUACGUUUUAAUAAAAGUAUGUGUUUUCUUACAUCCUG